Non-coding RNA from Triticum aestivum (bread wheat), 138 nucleotides. Lineage: Eukaryota; Viridiplantae; Streptophyta; Magnoliopsida; Poales; Poaceae. The record is from Rfam.
GGACUACUCUCUCCGUCCCGAAUUACUUUCUUAGAUUUGUCUAGAUACGGAUGUAUGUAUCUAGACACGUUUUAGUGUUAGAUACAUCCGUAUCUAGACAAAUCUAAGACAAGUAAUUUGGGACGGAUGUAAUAUUUU